GUGGUUAUUUGUGUGUCUCAUCCAAUUCUUUGUUCAUAACACCAAGAACCUGGAACUCCCAACUUCCAAUCUGGUAACAUAUUUUGGUGAGCCAGCCAGGAGGGUCAAGCCUGCAAUACCUAAAGCUCCAGACCUGGAACCUAAAGCUCCCAUCAGUCGCUACCCUGUGAACCUGUGGAGGAUCUGAAGUACCUGUUUAAAAGGCAUCCAAAAGAUAGAAUCUAUCAAGCUACAAAUGGCUAUAUUGCCUGAAGCCCCAGACAUCAUCCUACAAGAAAUAAGUCCAGACUUCUUAAUUUCCCCCUGGAUAGAGCAGGGUAAGAGUUCUGUGGUCCCCUGUUAGGUGGGGCCAACAGUCCCACUCAGCUGGAAGCAAGUGUAGAAGAAAGAACUUCAACCCUCAGCAACCUAUUAUGAUUUAUGGGGAUCACAUCUCUCAGAGGGAAUUGAGGCAGGAGAAUAGGGAAAGAAGUCAGAAAAUCAACCCGCAGCCUUUUCUCACCAAAACAAGCAUAAGGCACCAUCUGAUAAGGAAGCUGAAGCAAUGAACCAAUGCUUUCUGCAGUAAACAAAUCUGGUAUAACCUUUUAUUAUAAUAAGUUACUUAAAGCCCAUACAUAUGGAAUGCAUAUCAUACAUACACUUAAAAUUAUGGAAUGGCAAGCACACGCAGGCACACUGAGAGAGAAAACCAACAAGAAAACUGAUAUGUCAAUUAUAGGCAACCUCCUCCCUAAAAGUUAAGUAAGAGUAGUAAGGUGGUAUAAAAGAACAAAGGCU
This is a long non-coding RNA of Pan troglodytes (chimpanzee), 780 nucleotides long. RefSeq lists it as uncharacterized. Lineage: Eukaryota; Metazoa; Chordata; Mammalia; Primates; Hominidae. The record is from RefSeq and is a predicted model, not a curated record. The transcript is spliced from 3 exons.